UAUUAGGAAAAGCACUAAAGAUUUCUAUUUAAUAAAUUCCUUACCUAUUGUGGCAACGGUGGUUGAAUUCCUGUUUUAAUUUGAUUGAAAUGUAAUAUAGCAAGUCCCAUAUAUAUUUAAUACUUACUACACCUCAUAAAUUUGACGUAACAUUUGAGUGAGGUCACACUCCACAAAUCUGGGUGAUUUAGGACCCAAUCACUUUUUUAAAGUUCUUUAGCAAAUUGCCUUCUUUAAUUUAGGAACCUUGACGUUUUCAAAUAACUGUCAAAUUAUUUUGACAUUUGACACACAACCAAUACAGGAGGUUCAAACUAAUCACUACAGCGUUGCCGAAUUGUGAACCUAUUUUCUAAGCUUUCAUUCCUUAUACAUAUAUUAUUUUAUUACAUAAAGGUGUCCGGCCAGUUGGUUUACUUUGUUUAAAGUUUUAUUUCCCUGUCGAUUUUUUUCAUGCAAGGACUUUAUAGUAACUUGUGUUACCAUCUUUCCACCUCUUGGGAAGGGUUGGGUCAAACACAUACCAGUCCUUACACUCUUAAAUUGUAUAUAAUAUCAAAUGAGGAAUCCUUACCAAUUAAUUAAAAAAAAAAAUAAAAUAAACAGAUGUUAAAAUACAAACAUUGAACAAUAGGAAAUUCACGUGAAAACUGAAAUUUAUUCCUUCCAUUAACUUUGUUAAUAUUUGCCAACUUUUACCUAAACUUUAUGGACUUUUGUCCAGUAUGGCAACACCGCAACCAUCCUGGUGCCAAAUUGACAUAUACAAUAACCUCAUUUAUUUUAGUAAGGAGUUUCUUUAAUUUUUUAGGGCAAAAGAUGGUUCAUCCAAGCAUUUUUGGGUUUUAAAAUGUUCUAUAGACCGUACCCCUUCUACUAAGCAAAAAACUUGUUUGGAAAAUCGUUGGCUCUUAAAUUGCUUAAGCACCGAAAUCUGAAUAUCAUGUGCAGAGUGGAACACCCUGUACAUCAACUAUUAGCUUUGACCUUGCACACGAGAACACCAUUAGAAUAUUUAAUGAAAAAUCCUGUUCAAGUUUUUCCUAUUGUCGUUCUUUUUUAUUUACAAUUUAAAUUACCUGCGCCACUUGAAUCCCACGUUUAUCUGAUCCUAUCCUUUGCUUCUUACUUGGUAACCAGUGGCGGCUCGUGGGUCAAUCUUCAGGGGGGUCAUUUUGGUUUGAAAACUUAUAGUUUACUUUAAUAGAAAAAAAAACAAAUCAAACUAUUGAUUUUUUAAAGUAUUUGAAAGAUCUUUUAGCAUUUAUAUUUUAGAUAAAAAAUACAGACUUAGAUAAAACUCAAUAUUUACCGAGAUAUUUGCCCUAUUAAGCGGGUAAAAAUAACUUUAAAUGCUUAAAUCGUUUUUCGAAAAUUAAGUUUGCCUUUUUAUUAGGGUAAUGAUUUUAAAUAAAAAUAUAGGAAAAAGGGUAUAAACAGGUUAUCGAAACCACUCUACCCAGAACCAUCGUACGUUUUGAAGAUCGGCCGAAAAAGGACGAAAAUUCGUGUAAAUUUGCAAAAAAUAUUUUUAUCGGUUUAUGUUGACUCGCCGCUUUUUGCAGGAUGAGAUUAAGUUGAUGGGCAGUGAGUAAAGUGUGCAUUUGGGAUAUUUCUUUAAUUUUUGUUUGUACUCCUCCCAGUUUACCGCUCAUGACUGAUGCACCAUCGUAACUUUGGGCAAUUAAUUGUUCAGGUGCUUCAUUAAUUUUUGAUAAUUAUUGAAGUUCUUCCAAUAUUACAUUAGUUAAAUGUUGUGCUGUGGCACCUGGAGGGUUAUCAAAUUUCCAAAAUCUUUCAUGUACAAUAUCAGUUAAUACAUAUCGCAAUAUGACAAUCAUCUGCGUUUUAUUGGAGCUGUCUGUGGUCUCAUCCACUUGAAUUGCCACAAAAUUCGUCUGGCCAAUCUCCUUAAUUAUAUGAGUAUGCAAAAUGGCUAACAUUGAUUCUAAAAUAUCGUUCUGAAUUGUUUUUGAUGUUCCUUUAAAUACUGUACUUUUUCAAUAUGUUCUUUAAACAUUAAAUCCAGUUCAGAAACAAAAUCGAUAAGGCCCAGAAAAAUUCCUUGGUGCUGUUAUGAGAUGAUUGGAGCUGUUACUUUCGUCAUGACCGCGCAAUGCAAUUUCGAAAACUCCUUUUAUUAUUAUAAACCGAUUUUUAGAAACCGAUUCAUUAAAGUCAUGCACAGAUUUACGAUAUACACUAUCAAGUUGCUGUCUUAUGUUAACACGUCCUAAACUUGCGUAACUCAUUGAUGAAUUUAUAUGAGUAGUGGAAGAAGCAUGCUUUGUAAUUUUGACUUUUAAAUGCUUAAUGUCAGUUACUCCAUUUUUCGCCCAUACAGCGUCAUUCGGAAACAGUAAAUACGGGUAGCAAAAAAAUGCAUUUCUCACACUGCAGCCACAAAUCCAAUUACACAUUGUACAUUGAUUCUUUAAAAUAUCUUUGAAUAUCUUUACCCCUAUCCUUUGUUGGUUUUAAAUUCCUAUUUAGUUUUGGUCGACCACUUUGCUUUUUAUCAAGCCGCCGUUAAUGAUUUAAUGUUUCAGCAGAUUUUAAGGCAAUUAUUUAGUGCGGGCGGCAAACAGUAACUAACUAAAACAAAACAAUAAAACAUUCAUCCAGUCGGGCCGUCGACUACGUUAGCGAUAUAGGACUGAAAGGUGACUCUCACUCCCGCUCACGAAAUGCUAAUCUGCCUUCUUUGUUCUAUUUUACAUGCGUUUCUCCUUAAGCCAUAAGAACUGUAUAGGGACAAUUUAAAAUACGGCCCAGCCACGGGCUUGUGAUGCGCGCGAGGCGCGACGUUAAUAAUAUAUUUAUUUGUUUUGCCAAUGCAGACUGCUUAGAGAAUUUUAUAAUUCACAAUAAAGUUUUAGAUAAAAGAUAUUUAUAAUAAAAUUGGUAUUUUUAUGAGAUUAUUUAAGGGGGGUCAUUGACCAAUUGACCCUAAGAAGGAGCCGCCACUGUUGGUAACCAUAAUUGUUGACUCACUUGUAACUAUUUACCAUUAAUAAAUAGUAACGCACCUUGUAGGGUGAAUAGGAUGCCAGUAGUCAGAAUGUUUUCUCAAAUCUUAACUAAUAUUUUGUUGAUCACAAAAUGAUUGCAGAUGUCUAUUUAUCAUAAAAAAACUCAAAUUGGAGAUUUAUAGUACAUGUUUUUUGUUUUUUUCUACAAAAAUGCACUGUAGUUAGUGAUCGGUCACUUAUAAUGAGUAAUCGGACAGGACAAGAUUGAUCAAUUAUUAAGACCAGUUCAGGAGUAGUAAAUAAUUAAUUUUCGUUGAGAGAUUUACCUUAGAACAAGCAAAAAUGUUAAUUAGUUGAAUUAACUAGAAAAAUGGCAACAAAUUAUACUUUAUUAAAAAAAAUAUACAAAAAUAAAAUCAAAGACAUUACAAAUUAUACUUAAUUUAAUUCCAAAAAAAAAAAACAGAUUAACAGGUAGGUAUUUCGGUCAAUUAGCAAACAAAAAUGUUGUUUGUUAAAAAAAAUCAUUGAUUAAGAAAAAAUAAUUAUAAAAUUAACACAUAAAAAAAGGUGAAAAAAUAAUAUCCCCUAAUUUACUAUACAUAAUUGUAUUUUUUUUUUAAUUUAUUUAUAAUACACGGGAUCAGCCCCAUUACAAAAAAUUUAUAUAUUUCUGAAAAAGAAAUAAAAGCUAUACUACCUAACCACUAAUUACUAAUUAAAAAUAAUUAUCAGACUUAAUCUUAAUACCAAGGAUAAUUAAACCGUUUUACAAGUAGUAACAAUAUUCUCUCAAAAUCAGAACAAUUAACAAUGCAAAAUUAGCUAAGAAAAAACAAAAUAUAUUAUUAUCAAUGACAAUGAUCAAAUGUAUUUCAAAUUAUUGAUCAUGGAGCAAAAUUAAUUUAAAAACCAAAAUCCUACAAACUCUUAAUAAAACUCCUAAAAUGCAUUAAGGAAAUUCCCAAAACUUCAAUUCCAGUAGAGUUUACCAGCCUCAAGGUCCUUUCAGCAGGCGAGUGUAUAGCAUAGUUGGUACAAUGAUAAGGCAAAGAAAACAAUUUACCCUCAGAUUAGGGUGUGGAAUAUUAAAUGAAAUCCUAUUAAGUAGUUCAGGACAAAUCACAAGGCCAUUCAAAAGUUUAUAAAUAAACACCAAAUCAUUCUCAGUGCGUCUCUUAAGUAAACUCCGCAUAUUCAGCAAGUUCAUUGCUUCAUCAUAACAAUGGUCAUUAGGAACUGGGAUGCAAAGUUUAUAAAGGCAGAAUCCUAGAAAUUUAUUUUGAACCCUCUCCAGUGUCAUACAAUUAUUCAUGUACAGAGGAGACCAAAUUAUUGAUCCAUAUUCCAAUAAAGAGACGACAAGUGAUAUGUACAACCUUGCAUGUUUCAACCGACAGAUCCUUACAAUUGCGCGGGACAAAACCAAGGACCUUAGAUGCUUUAGUUAUAAUAGUAUUUACAUGGGUAUUAAAAUUCAAUUGUUCAUCAAAAAAGAUACCAAAAAAAGAUCCUUUACUACUUCAGUGUACCUAAGAUUAACAUUAUCAAUAGUAUAGGAGGAAGUUACCCGUUUGUUUCUUUUGUAGAAACUAAUGUAUUCACACAAUCACACAAUCUAUUCAGAUCAUCUUGCAAGAGAACCAUGUCUUGUUCUGAACUGAUCACCCUAUAAAACUUUAAAUCAUCGGCAAAUAACAAAAAAAUUACUAUUUUUAAAGCAAACCAAAAUAUCAUUAAUGAAAAUAUUGAACAACAUGGGAGAACAAUGAACCCUGUGGAACCCCAGAGGUCACACUGAUAAGAUGGACCUAGCAUCCCCAAUUUAUACCUGCUGAAAUCUGUCAGAAAGAAAACUUGCAAACCAGGCCACCAAACAAUCUGAAAAACCAAAAAGUCUCAAUUUUUCUAGUAAUAAGCUAUGGUUGACACUGUCAAAUGCCUUGGAAAAGUCUGUAUAUAUUACAUCCACUUGUUCACCCCUCUCCAAAGCAUUUAACAGAGCACCCUGAUACAGCAACAAGUUUGUAAUAGCAGACUUGCCACGACUGAAGCCAUGCUGUUCACUUAACAGAAGUUCUUUGCAAUAAAAAUUAAUUUGGUCAAAAAUAAGACUGUCUAGAAGUUUUGGGAUGGCAGACUGUACACACACACUCCUGUAAUUGAUCAUUUCAUUAGCAGCACCACAUUUAAAUAUAGGCGUAAUAAAACUGAGUUUCCACUGGGAUGGAAAAACUGUCAAGUCUGAAGACCUACUGAAUAAAAUAAAGAGGGGAUAAGAGAGGGCACAUACACAUUUUCUCAAAAAAUAAUUGGGUAUACCAUCAGGGCCAGCACUAAGUUUAGGAGGUAAUCGAAAGAUCUUAUCAAAAAAUAAUCCAAUAGAUAAUUUAGGAUUUGGAAUAGUCAUGUUUACACCAGCCUGCCGAGAAGGUAAGACAUUAUUAUCUCUAUUAUAGACAGUAGAAAAAAACCUGGCAAAUCCCUCUGCAAUUUGUUCACAACCUGCAAACUCCCCAUCAUUAUACGUCAUCAAAUCAGGAAGCCUAUUCGUUGCUCUCCUGUUAUUAAACUUAUACCACAAACUCUUGGGGUUUGUAUAAAGUAACUGGGCCAAAUUUGAAAUAAAGUUCUGGUAACAAGUCUCCGUUAGAGUUUUGCACCUAGCUCUAAGAUCUGAAAAGACUUCGUAGUCUGCAACAGUAUGACUAGACUGAUAUUUUUUAUGUGAAAUUUUCUUUUGCUGGAUCAAGUACUAUAACUCCCCUAAAACCAACUGGGAAAAGAUGAGGUUUUGAAUCUCUUAAGAGGUACAAACAAAGCUAUAGCCAUAUUCAAUAUAUGAUAGAACUCUGAAACCGCAUCAUCAAUAUUAAUUACAUUCAAAACAUGGUCCCAAUCAAUUCCACACAAAUAAUUAUUAACACCCAAAUAAUUUGCAUUUCUAUAGUCAUAGAAGAACUGUACAAAAUUUAAAGUUUUUUCUUUACCAUUGUUAAAAAUUAAUUCAAAAUGAUAAGGCUUAUGAUAGACAGAUUUAUCAAAAACACAGUCAACAGCUUCACUCACCACUAGAGCAUUCCUAUUUGUAAAAGUGAGAUCAAGAAAGGUAUUUCCAUCAUUUGGCACAAAAUUCCUUUGAAAAAAGUUAAGGUAAGAAUAAAACUCCCCAAGUAUUAAUUCACAUGAGUUAGGUGGGCAUCUAACAACAGUUCCAAACUCAUCAUUUUCCCAAAGAGCAUCCGGAACAUUAAAAUCACCAAAAAUAAUAAAGUCAGAGUUUGAAAAUUGUUGCCUGAAAAUAUCAACUGACUGGCAAUGUCCUUCAUAAGAAUCCCUAUUGGACCCAGGUGGGAUAUACACCCCGCCCACAUUACAAGCUAAAAACAAUUGCUCAACUGAAUUGUACUGUAAUUUAUUUUUUUUGGCAUUUAUAAAGUCUCUAAUGUAAAUUAAUACACCUCCACCUCUGCGUUUAUUGCUUGUAAGAGACGAUCUAUCACAGCGAUUAAGGGUUCAUUAAUAGAAAAUAUGUAUAUGUUUCACUUUGCCUGAUCUUAUAACUUUAAAUGGUGUUUUUUAAUAAACUAAUAUACUCUAAUAAACCUCUAAUUAUUUAAAAUAAAAG
Anthonomus grandis grandis is the source of this 6600-nucleotide long non-coding RNA. RefSeq lists it as uncharacterized. The transcript has 2 exons. NCBI's taxonomy places the organism in Eukaryota, Metazoa, Arthropoda, Insecta, Coleoptera, Curculionidae. The record is from RefSeq and is a predicted model, not a curated record.